Olea europaea var. sylvestris is the source of this 1702-nucleotide long non-coding RNA. RefSeq lists it as uncharacterized. The transcript is spliced from 5 exons. NCBI's taxonomy places the organism in Eukaryota, Viridiplantae, Streptophyta, Magnoliopsida, Lamiales, Oleaceae. The record is from RefSeq and is a predicted model, not a curated record.
ACCCAUCCCUACUACAAAACCUAAAUUAUUUUUCCAUCCCCAUCUCACCAAUCUCUCUAUCUAUCUCUCUACACUCCCGAUCACGAAAAUCACCCUCGUGGGUCAUUCGAUCCACUUGGUGACACCCACAACAUAUAACACCCAACAACCAACGACUUAUCCAAGUCCUAAGCACCAUAACCACCACAUCAAUGGUUGCUGCCUGCAAUCAAAAGAACCAUCCCCACUCAUAACCUCCACCAUUCAAUUCACAGUUUUCCCAAUUUGGCUCCUCGUGGGCAACAAGCUUCGUUGCCUCUGCAAUGUACAGCGAUCUCGUACAAACUGGCUCUUUACAAAUGGCCCUCAAUUCUCCAUCUUAGAAGGCGAUAACGCUCAUAGGUGGUGCUGUAAACGUCGAAGCUUUGAAACGAUUAGUCCAACUUCAGAUCUGGCAAUCGUUGUUAGAGGUGCGGCACGGUGAUGUUGUGGUGUAGUAUGAGUUUUGCUACACGUACACCGGAAUUCACACUCCCCUCAUAUGGGGAGAUCCCACAAUUUUUUUAUUGUCGUGGGGCUCAUCCCCUCACGUGAAAAGAGUGUACAUCGGAGUGUCAAUCUUGGUGUACAAAUAGCAUUUUCCGGUGUAGUAUUGUUAGUGAUUGUGGUUUGGUAAAGGAGGAUAUGAUGUUGGAUUUGAUGCCGUGGUGGCAACGAUUGUGCUUUCGCUUGUGGAGUGGGUAACCCAUUAGAUGGUCUCGUUGGUGUUUUUGCAAAUGGGUAGUGGUGUGGUUUGGUGGUGGUGGCUGCAAGGGACAUGGUGGUCGUGAAAAGACUUUCAGACUCAGAGAAAUCAACGGCAAAACUUACAUGUUCAACGGUGGUGGUCGGAGCUAAUGUGGUGGCCAUCCUCACCAAUUCACUGUCAACAAUCCACCUCUUAAUUCACCGCUCCUUUUUGUUUAGGUACCAUGUUGGUUAACAUAUGAUUAUCCACAAGACGCCAGGGAAAAACUUAGGCAUCGAUGGGGUUCAGACUGGAAAGGUCAAGCACAAAAAUGGAUGAAGAAAUCAAUCUUUUGGGUGAUGGGUCUGAGAAGCCUGAAUUCGGAGAAUGAUCAUGGCUGUCACCAGAAGAAAUAAUCAACGUCGCAGUGGGUUUCAAGAAGCCUGUAUAUCAGGAAGUUUUGACAACUUUCUCUCCACAUCUUGAGUAGAACAUUAAAGGUCGAUUUUUGUUCAAGGAACUGUUUUUCUGCCGAUUUGGGGGAAAUAUGCAAGGCCAUCAACUCACCUAAGAUUCUUGUAUUACAUUAGAGUUUUACUACACGUACUUCGGGGUUGACACUCCGGUGUACACUCCCCUCACCUGGGAGAUUCCAAAAUUUUUUUUAUUGUCAUGGGGCCCAUCCCCUCAUGUGAGGGGAGUGUUAACCUCGAUGUACAAAUAGCAUUUUCCUUUUCUAUGUCACUGUGAGGUAGCAUGGAAAAAUUUGCACCGCUAAUACGGACGUCUUUGUUUGAAGUCACAUACUCACAAUUUCAUUUGUAAUUUUGAGACAGGUUAUGGAGAGUUGAGUAGGAUUGUCUGCUCUCAUUUUCUCCUAUGACAAAUUUGUCCGGGAUAUGGACUUAUGCUAUGAUUUAAAUCAUGCUCAUGUUUGUCAAAUUAAUUUGUAUUUGUGGUAAUAUAAGUGGAAAUAAAGGCUCUAUGUUUAUCGAA